CCCUUAGAUGUUCUGGGCCGCACGCGCGCUACACUGACGAAUGCAACGAGCUUAUAACCUUGGCCGAAAGGUCUGGGUAAUCUCCAAAUUUCGUCGUGAUGGGGAUAGAUUAUUGCAAUUAUUAAUCUUCAACGAGGAAUGCCUAGUAAGCGCAAGUCAUCAGCUUGCGUUGAUUACGUCCCUGCCCUUUGUACACACCGCCCGUCGCUCCUACCGAUUGAAUGGUCCGGUGAAGCGUUCGGACCGUGGCCUUUGGACGGUUCGCCGUCUGUUGGCUGCGGGAAGUUCGUUAAACCUUAUCAUUUAGAAGAAGGAGAAGUCGUAACA
This 327-nucleotide ribosomal RNA is filed under the name uncultured eukaryote. RNAcentral describes it as "partial 18S ribosomal RNA". It matches the Rfam family "Eukaryotic small subunit ribosomal RNA", at positions 1470 to 1796 of the family's 1831-position model. The record is from RNAcentral.